This 1067-nucleotide ribosomal RNA is filed under the name Bacillus sp. (in: firmicutes). RNAcentral describes it as "bacterial SSU rRNA". It matches the Rfam family "Bacterial small subunit ribosomal RNA", at positions 41 to 1089 of the family's 1533-position model. The record is from RNAcentral. Lineage: Bacteria; Bacillati; Bacillota; Bacilli; Caryophanales; Bacillaceae.
GACAUGCGUAGCAUGCAGUCGAGCGGACAGAUGGGAGCUUGCUCCCUGAUGUUAGCGGCGGACGGGUGAGUAACACGUGGGUAACCUGCCUGUAAGACUGGGAUAACUCCGGGAAACCGGGGCUAAUACCGGAUGCUUGUUUGAACCGCAUGGUUCAAACAUAAAAGGUGGCUUCGGCUACCACUUACAGAUGGACCCGCGGCGCAUAGCUAGUUGGUGAGGUAACGGCUCACCAAGGCAACGAUGCGUAGCCGACCUGAGAGGGUGAUCGGCCACACUGGGACUGAGACACGGCCCAGACUCCUACGGGAGGCAGCAGUAGGGAAUCUUCCGCAAUGGACGAAAGUCUGACGGAGCAACGCCGCGUGAGUGAUGAAGGUUUUCGGAUCGUAAAGCUCUGUUGUUAGGGAAGAACAAGUACCGUUCGAAUAGGGCGGUACCUUGACGGUACCUAACCAGAAAGCCACGGCUAACUACGUGCCAGCAGCCGCGGUAAUACGUAGGUGGCAAGCGUUGUCCGGAAUUAUUGGGCGUAAAGGGCUCGCAGGCGGUUCCUUAAGUCUGAUGUGAAAGCCCCCGGCUCAACCGGGGAGGGUCAUUGGAAACUGGGGAACUUGAGUGCAGAAGAGGAGAGUGGAAUUCCACGUGUAGCGGUGAAAUGCGUAGAGAUGUGGAGGAACACCAGUGGCGAAGGCGACUCUCUGGUCUGUAACUGACGCUGAGGAGCGAAAGCGUGGGGAGCGAACAGGAUUAGAUACCCUGGUAGUCCACGCCGUAAACGAUGAGUGCUAAGUGUUAGGGGGUUUCCGCCCCUUAGUGCUGCAGCUAACGCAUUAGCACUCCGCCUGGGGAGUACGGUCGCAAGACUGAAACUCAAAGGAAUUGACGGGGGCCCGCACAAGCGGUGGAGCAUGUGGGUUUAUUUCGAAGCAACGCGAGAACCUUACCAGGUCUUGACAUCCUCUGACAAUCCUAGAGAUAGACGUCCCCUUCGGGGGCAGAGUGACAGGUGUUGCAUGGAUUGUCGUUCAGCCUCCUGUCCGUGGAGAUGUUGGGUUUAAGUCCCG